AUACGGAGGGUGCAAGCGUUAAUCGGAAUUACUGGGCGUAAAGCGCGCGUAGGCGGAUUGUUAAGUCUCAUGUGAAAGCCCUGGGCUCAACCUGGGAACUGCAUGGGAUACUGGCAAUCUAGAAUACAGUAGAGGGUAGUGGAAUUUCAGGUGUAGCGGUGAAAUGCGUAGAGAUCUGAAGGAACAUCAGUGGCGAAGGCGACUACCUGGACUGAUAUUGACGCUGAGGUGCGAAAGCGUGGGGAGCAAACAGGAUUAGAAACCCCAGUAGUCC
This 274-nucleotide ribosomal RNA is filed under the name uncultured bacterium. RNAcentral's name for it is "partial 16S ribosomal RNA". It matches the Rfam family "Bacterial small subunit ribosomal RNA", at positions 523 to 796 of the family's 1533-position model. The record is from RNAcentral.